RNAcentral lists this transfer RNA (78 nucleotides) under miscellaneous Crenarchaeota group archaeon SMTZ1-55. Its description in RNAcentral is "tRNA-Arg". It matches the Rfam family "tRNA". From Rfam's summary of the family: Transfer RNA (tRNA) molecules are approximately 80 nucleotides in length. Their secondary structure includes four short double-helical elements and three loops (D, anti-codon, and T loops). Further hydrogen bonds mediate the characteristic L-shaped molecular structure. tRNAs have two regions of fundamental functional importance: the anti-codon, which is responsible for specific mRNA codon recognition, and the 3' end, to which the tRNAs corresponding amino acid is attached (by aminoacyl-tRNA synthetases). tRNAs cope with the degeneracy of the genetic code in two manners: having more than one tRNA (with a specific anti-codon) for a particular amino acid; and 'wobble' base-pairing, i.e. permitting non-standard base-pairing at the 3rd anti-codon position. Lineage: Archaea; Thermoproteati; Candidatus Bathyarchaeota. The record is from RNAcentral. RNAcentral also lists the same sequence under 1 other name.
GGGCCCGUGGCCUAGCUUGGAUAGGGCAUCGGCCUUCUAAGCCGAGAGGCGUGGGUUCAAAUCCCUCCGGGCCCGCCA